This 932-nucleotide ribosomal RNA is filed under the name uncultured bacterium. RNAcentral describes it as "bacterial SSU rRNA". It matches the Rfam family "Bacterial small subunit ribosomal RNA", at positions 1 to 933 of the family's 1533-position model. The record is from RNAcentral. RNAcentral also lists the same sequence under 1 other name.
GGAUCCAGACUUUGUUUAUGGCUCAGGACGAACGCUGGCGGCGUGCUUAACACAUGCAAGUCGAACGAGAAUCUACUGAAAGAGUUUUCGGACAAUGGAUGUAGAGGAAAGUGGCGGACGGGUGAGUAACGCGUGAGGAACCUGCCUUGAAGAGGGGGACAACAGUUGGAAACGACUGCUAAUACCGCAUGAUGCAUAAGGGUCGCAUGAUUCUUAUGCCAAAGAUUUAUCGCUUCAAGAUGGCCUCGCGUCUGAUUAGCUAGUUGGCGGGGUAACGGCCCACCAAGGCGACGAUCAGUAGCCGGACUGAGAGGUUGAACGGCCACAUUGGGACUGAGAUACGGCCCAGACUCCUACGGGAGGCAGCAGUGGGGAAUAUUGGGCAAUGGGCGCAAGCCUGACCCAGCAACGCCGCGUGAAGGAAGAAGGCUUUCGGGUUGUAAACUUCUUUUAAGAGGGAAGAGCAGAAGACGGUACCUCUAGAAUAAGCCACGGCUAACUACGUGCCAGCAGCCGCGGUAAUACGUAGGUGGCAAGCGUUGUCCGGAUUUACUGGGUGUAAAGGGCGUGCAGCCGGGUCUGCAAGUCAGAUGUGAAAUCCAUGGGCUCAACCCAUGAACUGCAUUUGAAACUGUAGAUCUUGAGUGUCGGAGGGGCAAUCGGAAUUCCUAGUGUAGCGGUGAAAUGCGUAGAUAUUAGGAGGAACACCAGUGGCGAAGGCGGAUUGCUGGACGAUAACUGACGGUGAGGCGCGAAAGUGUGGGGAGCAAACAGGAUUAGAUACCCUGGUAGUCCACACUGUAAACGAUGAAUACUAGGUGUGCGGGGACUGACCCCCUGCGUGCCGCAGUAAACACAAUAAGUAUUCCACCUGGGGAGUACGAUCGCAAGGUUGCAACUCAAAGGAAUUGACGGAAGGGCGAAUUCGCGUC